RNAcentral lists this ribosomal RNA (253 nucleotides) under uncultured bacterium. RNAcentral describes it as "partial 16S ribosomal RNA". It matches the Rfam family "Bacterial small subunit ribosomal RNA", at positions 524 to 776 of the family's 1533-position model. The record is from RNAcentral.
UACGGAGGGUGCGAACGUUACUCGGAAUCACUGGGCGUAAAGCGCGCGUAGGCGGUUUGUUAAGUGGGAUGUGAAAUCCCCGGGCUUAACCUGGGAAUUGCAUUUCAAACUGGCCGACUAGAGUACGGUAGAGGGAGGUAGAAUUUCCUGUGUAGCGGUGAAAUGCGUAGAUAUGUGGAGGAAUACCGAUGGCGAAGGCAGCCCCCUGGGCCAAUACUGACGCUCAUGCACGAAAGCGUGGGGAGCAAACAGG